This 926-nucleotide ribosomal RNA is filed under the name uncultured bacterium. RNAcentral describes it as "bacterial SSU rRNA". It matches the Rfam family "Bacterial small subunit ribosomal RNA", at positions 1 to 917 of the family's 1533-position model. The record is from RNAcentral. RNAcentral also lists the same sequence under 1 other name.
UGGAUCCAGACUUUGAUUCUGGCUCAGGAUGAACGCUAGCUACAGGCUUAACACAUGCAAGUCGAGGGGAAACGACAUUGAAAGCUUGCUUUUGAUGGGCGUCGACCGGCGCACGGGUGAGUAACGCGUAUCCAACCUGCCCACCACUUGGGGAUAACCUUGCGAAAGUAAGACUAAUACCCAAUGACGUCUCUAGAAGACAUCUGAAAGAGAUUAAAGAUUUAUCGGUGAUGGAUGGGGAUGCGUCUGAUUAGCUUGUUGGCGGGGUAACGGCCCACCAAGGCUACGAUCAGUAGGGGUUCUGAGAGGAAGGUCCCCCACAUUGGAACUGAGACACGGUCCAAACUCCUACGGGAGGCAGCAGUGAGGAAUAUUGGUCAAUGGACGAGAGUCUGAACCAGCCAAGUAGCGUGCAGGAUGACGGCCCUAUGGGUUGUAAACUGCUUUUAUAAGGGAAUAAAGUGAGUCUCGUGAGACUUUUUGCAUGUACCUUAUGAAUAAGGACCGGCUAAUUCCGUGCCAGCAGCCGCGGUAAUACGGAAGGUCCGGGCGUUAUCCGGAUUUAUUGGGUUUAAAGGGAGCGUAGGCCGGAGAUUAAGCGUGUUGUGAAAUGUAGAUGCUCAACAUCUGCACUGCAGCGCGAACUGGUCUCCUUGAGUACGCACAAAGUGGGCGGAAUUCGUGGUGUAGCGGUGAAAUGCUUAGAUAUCACGAAGAACUCCGAUUGCGAAGGCAGCUCACUGGAGCGCAACUGACGCUGAAGCUCGAAAGUGCGGGUAUCGAACAGGAUUAGAUACCCUGGUAGUCCGCACGGUAAACGAUGGAUGCCCGCUGUUGGUCUGAAUAGGUCAGCGGCCAAGCGAAAGCAUUAAGCAUCCCACCUGGGGAGUACGCCGGCAACGGUGCAACUCAAAGGAAUUGACGGA